Polyodon spathula (Mississippi paddlefish) is the source of this 1024-nucleotide long non-coding RNA. RefSeq lists it as uncharacterized. The record is from RefSeq and is a predicted model, not a curated record. The transcript is spliced from 3 exons. NCBI's taxonomy places the organism in Eukaryota, Metazoa, Chordata, Actinopteri, Acipenseriformes, Polyodontidae.
CUGGUCCCAGAGUAAGAAAGAUCCAUUUUAUUAAAUUAUUCCACUUUCCAAACAGAACAGCAAGAGUUUAGAAAUGCAUCUGGACAACAGCAACACCAUUCCAAAGAGGGAGGGGGUCCGUACAAACAGCAGCAGGGAUUCCCCCGUUCAAAACAGGGACCUUGAGUCUCAUAGGUGUCUCUUCAUCAUGAGUAACUCAAAGAGAAGGCACUCAACACCAAACUGUGGCUGCAUGGGGGAUGAGCGCUCACAAACCCAUUACAAUGAACCAUGUCUGGACAGGUGAAUGAUUGAUCCGUGAGACUACAGUAGCACUGGCUUAUUGAUGGUGCAAGCUUGCUGCUUCAUUUCUCUAGGCAGUAUCCAGUUAGUUAAUUCAAUGAAGCUACAAUGGAUGCAACAGAACUCAAUAUGGUAUCUGUAAAGCAUUAAGUUUACAUCCAAUAUUUGGAAGUACAUAUUAAAGUAUUGAUAAUGCAUCUGUUAUUUACAUUUGUUGUGAUUUAUAUUUGUGCUGAUAGGGAUUUGGAGUAAAUUGCUUUGAGAAUGUGGCUUGUGGAAUAAUGCCUUUGUCAGCUGCAGUCUCUUUGGGUCAGGGUCAGGUUUAGAGAGUUACUUUGUCAGCUGCAGUCUCUUUGGGUCAGGGUCAGGUUUAGAGAGUUACUUUGUCAGCUGCAGUCUCUUUGGGUCAGGGUCAGGUUUAGAGAGUUACUUUGUCAGCUGCAGUCUCUUUGGGUCAGGGUCAGGUUUAGAGAGUUACUUUGUCAGCUGCAGUCUCUUUGGGUCAGGGUCAGGUUUAGAGAGUUACUUUGUCAGCUGCAGUCUCUUUGGGUCAGGGUCAGGUUUAUAGAAUUACUUUGUCAGCUGCAGUCUCUUUGGGUCAGGGUCAGGUUUAUAGAGUUACUUUGUCAGCUGCAGUCUCUUUGGGUCAGGGUCAGGUUUAGAGAGUUACUUUGUCAGCUGCAGUCUCUUUGGGUCAGGGUCAGGUUUAGAGAGUUACUUUGUCAGCUGCAGUCUCUUUGGG